Eriocheir sinensis (Chinese mitten crab) is the source of this 737-nucleotide long non-coding RNA. RefSeq lists it as uncharacterized. The transcript is spliced from 2 exons. The record is from RefSeq and is a predicted model, not a curated record. Lineage: Eukaryota; Metazoa; Arthropoda; Malacostraca; Decapoda; Varunidae.
AGUUACUGACCGUGGUGGUGGAGGUGACGGUGGGGGCCACGGGCACGAUGUAGUCCUUCAUCCCCUCGUAGAGAACCCUGUGGUGUGACAAUCAUCAUAAACGCGAGCAAGGGGAGGCAGAUAUACGAGAGAUCAAUCAAAACAGGUGAAUACAGAAACAAGAUCAUAACUUUUAAGGGGAAUGAGAGAGAAAUAUUAUAAACGCGAGCAAGGGGAGACAAGAUACGCGAUAAAUAAAUCAAAACAGUUGAAUAUAGAAACAAGAUGAUAACUUUUAAGGGGAAUGAGAGAGAAAUAUUAUAAACGCGAGCAAGGGGAGACAAGAUACGCGAUAAAUAAAUCAAAACAGUUGAAUAUAGAAACAAGAUCAUAACUUUUAAGUGGAAUGAGAGAGAAAUAUUAUAAACGCGAGCAAGGGGAGACAAGAUACGCGAUAAAUAGAACAGUUGAAUAUAGAAACAAGAUCAUAACUUUUAAGGGGAAUGAGAGAGAAAUAUUAUAAACGCGAGCAAGGGGAGACAAGAUACGCGAUAAAUAAAUCAAAACAGUUGAAUAUAGAAACAAGAUCAUAACUUUUAAGGGGAAUGAGAGAGAAAUAUUAUAAACGCGAGCAAGGGGAGACAAGAUACGCGAUAAAUAAAUCAAAACAGUUGAAUAUAGAAACAAGAUCAUAACUUUUAAGGGGAAUGAGAGAAAUAUUAUAAACGCGAGCAAGGGGAGACAAGAUACGCGAUAAA